CCUUCUACUCAUUAUACUUAUGGCAGUAAGGGAAGCUCCUUAAUUAAGCUGGAUUUAGACCAGGAUGCGGUUGUGCUAACCAGAUAUUCAUGUUAAGGAAGGUAUUGGAACAUCGCUUCAAAUAUUUGCAAUCCACCUUUAUGUAUUUCAUCGAUGAUGGCAUGGUCUAGUACCGGCGACAUAUCUAUCAAGUAUCUGCCUUAUCAACUUUCGAUGGUAGUUUAUGUGCCUACCAUGGUUGUAACGGGUAACGGAGAAUAAGGGUUCGACUCCGGAGAGGGAGCCUGAGAAUUCAACUGAUAGAGCGGCACUUUGGAGGAUGAUGGAACGCAACGAUUUUUCAGAGAAG
This 349-nucleotide non-coding RNA is filed under the name Dracunculus medinensis (Guinea worm). Its description in RNAcentral is "Eukaryotic small subunit ribosomal RNA". It matches the Rfam family "Eukaryotic small subunit ribosomal RNA", at positions 128 to 425 of the family's 1831-position model. Lineage: Eukaryota; Metazoa; Nematoda; Chromadorea; Rhabditida; Dracunculidae. The record is from Rfam by way of RNAcentral.